AUCAGAAGAGAGGUCCGUAAUGGAACUACCUGUUUAGGGAUUUCCUCUAUUGUUCAGGCAGCAGGUGAUUUUUACCUGAAAUAGUAAACCUGGUAGGAUGGUCUGGGGACUGGAAAGACCUUAAAAUACAGGGAGUGCAGAAUUAUUAGGAAAAUGAGUAUUUUGACCACAUCAUCCUGUUGUCUUACUCCAAGCUGUAUAGGCUCGAAAGCCUACUACCAAUUAAGCAUAUUAGGUGAUGUGCAUCUCUGUAAUGAGAAGGGGUG
Pelobates cultripes (western spadefoot toad) is the source of this 266-nucleotide non-coding RNA. NCBI's taxonomy places the organism in Eukaryota, Metazoa, Chordata, Amphibia, Anura, Pelobatidae. The record is from the annotation of a GenBank genome assembly.